RNAcentral lists this ribosomal RNA (2456 nucleotides) under Bifidobacterium samirii. Its description in RNAcentral is "Bifidobacterium sp. 2033B partial 23S ribosomal RNA". It matches the Rfam family "Bacterial large subunit ribosomal RNA", at positions 590 to 2925 of the family's 2925-position model. The record is from RNAcentral. Lineage: Bacteria; Bacillati; Actinomycetota; Actinomycetes; Bifidobacteriales; Bifidobacteriaceae.
GGGGUGACGGCGUGCCUAUCGAAAAAUGAGUCUGCGAGUCAGUGGCAUGUGGCGAGCGUAAGCCGUGUGGUGUACGCGUAGCGAAAGCGAGUCUUAAAAGGCGUGUGAGUCGCGUGUCCUGGACCCGAAGCGGGAUGAUCUAGCCCUGAGCAGGUUGAAGCGCGGGUAAGACCGCGUGGAGGACCGAACCCACCUGGGUUGAAAACCGGGGGGAUGACUUGGGGUUAGGGGUGAAAGGCCAAUCAAAUUCCGUGAUAGCUGGUUCUCUCCGAAAUGCAUUUAGGUGCAGCGUCGGUUGAGUACAUCCGGGGGGUAGAGCUACCGGAUGCUUGCGGGCCCGUACUGGGUACCAAUAGCAGCCGAACUCCGAAUACCCGUGAUGCGUAUUCCGGCAGUGAGUCGGCGGGGGAUAAGCUCCGUCGUCGAAAGGGAAACAGCCCAGAUCGUCGUCUAAGGUCCCUAAGCGUGUGCUAAGUGGGAAAGGAUGUGGAGUCGCAUAGACAGCCAGGAGGUUGGCUCAGAAGCAGCCACCCUUGAAAGAGUGCGUAACAGCUCACUGGUCUAGUGGUUCCGCGCCGACAAUGUAGCGGGGCUCAAGCACACCACCGAAGACGCGGCAGCAGCGUUUGCUGCUGGGUAGGAGAGCGUCCUAUGCGGGGCGAAGCGGCGGUGGAAACCGGCCGUGGACUGCAUGGGAGUGAGAAUGCAGACAUGAGUAGCGAGAGACGGGUGAAGAUCCCGUCCGCUGGAUGACCAAGGGUUCCGGGGCCACGUUCAUCGUCCCCGGGUGAGUCGGGUCCUAAGGCGAGGCCGACAGGCGUAGUCGAAUGGAUGAACGGGUCGAUAUUCCCGUACCGGCAUGCGACCGACAACACCGAAUCGGGGGUGCUAACCUCCCGCGUCGGGCUUACUUCUCCUUCGGGAGGGGGAUGCGCGGCGUGGUUGGGACCCUUCCCGGUAGUAGGUCAGCGCAGGAGUGACGCAGGAGGGUAGCCGGCCGCGGAGGUGGUUUUCCGUGGUCAAGCGUGUGGCCCGCAUCCCAGGCAAAUCCGGGGUGCAUGGAGGGUGAGGCGCGAUGAUGGGAACGUUUGUUCGAUAUCCGGUGAUCCCAUGCUGCCGAGAAAAGCUUCGGCGUGAGGGCGUUUGCCGCCCGUACCCCAAACCGACACUGGUGGUCAGGUAGAGAAUACCAAAGCGAUCGAGCGAAUCCUGGUCAAGGAACUCGGCAAAUCACUCCCGUGCCUUCGGUAUAAGGGAGACCCCUUGGCGUGAAAGCACUUGCUGCUGGAGCGUUGGGGGGUGGCACAGGCCAGGGGGUAGCGACUGUUUACCAAAAACACAGGAGCGUGCGAAGGCGUAAGCCGCUGUAUACGCUCUGACGCCUGCCCGGUGCCGGAAGGUUAAGAGGAUCCGUCAGCCCUUUGGGGUGAAGCGGUGAAUUCAAGCCCCGGUAAACGGCGGUGGUAACUAUAACCAUCCUAAGGUAGCGAAAUUCCUUGUCGGGUAAGUUCCGACCUGCACGAAUGGCGUAACGACUUCCCCACUGUCUCGACCAGGAGCUCGGCGAAAUUGCAGUACGAGUAAAGAUGCUCGUUAAGCGCAGAAGGACGAAAAGACCCCGGGACCUUUACUAUACCUUGGUAUUGGCAUUAGGCGCGGAUUGUGUAGCAUAGGCGGGAGACUUGGAAGCGUGGGCGCCAGCUCAUGUGGAGUCGCAAGGUGAAAUACCGCUCUGUUCUCGUUUGAUGUCUCACCACGAGCAGUCAUCCUGCUCUGGGACAGUGCCUGGCGGGUAGUUUAACUGGGGCGGUUGCCUCCCAAAGAGUAACGGAGGCGCUCAAAGGUUCCCUCAGCCCGGUUGGCAAUCGGGUGUUGAGUGUAAUCGCACAAGGGAGCUUGACUGCGAGACCGACGGGUCGAGCAGGGACGAAAGUCGGAGAUAGUGAUCCGGUGCCGGCGCACGGGCGCGGCAUCGCUCAACGGAUAAAAGGUACCCCGGGGAUAACAGGCUGAUCAUUCCCAAGAGUCCAUAUCGACGGGAUGGUUUGGCACCUCGAUGUCGGCUCGUCGCAUCCUGGGGCUGGAGCAGGUCCCAAGGGUUCGGCUGUUCGCCGAUUAAAGCGGCACGCGAGCUGGGUUCAGAACGUCGUGAGACAGUUUGGUCUCUAUCCUCUGCGCUCGUUGGAAUCUUGAGGAGGCCUGCCCAUAGUACGAGAGGACCUGGGUGGACGAACCUCUGGUAUGCCGGUCGUCACGCCAGUGGCGCGGCCGGUUGGCUACGUUCGGAAGGGAUAACCGCUGAAAGCAUCUAAGCGGGAAGCCUGCUCCAAGAUAAGGAUUCCUUCACACCUUCGGGUGUGUGUACCCCCCAUGCAGAACACGUGGUCGAUAGGCCGGACGUGGAAGCCGCGCAAGCGGUGGAGCGGACCGGUACUAACGGGGGAAGACGACCCUAC